AAGUCGUAACAAGGUUUCCGUAGGUGAACCUGCGGAAGGAUCAUUAACACUUUUUCUUAUCAAUAUACAUCUGUGCAUCUUGUUUUAAACAAACAAAACAAACGUUCAUCAAAUACAUGUCACAGUGUGUUUGUUGAACAAAAAGCAAGGUCAACUGAGGGAGUAAAAUCCCUUUGUUGUAUUUUGCUUUCAUUUUCUUUUUAACACCUUAACUUUAUUUCAUUCUUCUUUCAUGUUAACCUUUUCUCUUCGGAGUAAAAGUGUUGCUUGAAUAACAAUUAAUGAAAACACAAGUCUUACCAGCGGAUAUCUCGGUUCCC
RNAcentral lists this unclassified non-coding RNA (320 nucleotides) under air metagenome. RNAcentral describes it as "partial contains small subunit ribosomal RNA and internal transcribed spacer 1". The stretch from base 1 to 46 matches the Rfam family "Eukaryotic small subunit ribosomal RNA", at positions 1786 to 1831 of the family's 1831-position model. The record is from RNAcentral.